GUGAGGAAUAUUGGACAAUGGGCGCAAGCCUGAUCCAGCCAUGCCGCGUGCAGGAAGACGCAUCUAUGGUGUGUAAACUGCUUUUGUACGGGAAGAAACACUCCCUCGUGAGGGAGCUUGACGGUACCGUAAGAAUAAGGAUCGGCUAACUCCGUGCCAGCAGCCGCGGUAAUACGGAGGAUCCAAGCGUUAUCCGGAAUCAUUGGGUUUAAAGGGUCCGUAGGCGGUUUAAUAAGUCAGUGGUGAAAGCCCAUCGCCCAACGAUGGAACGGCCAUUGAUACUGUUAGACUUGAAUUACAAGGAAGUAACUAGAAUAUGUAGUGUAGCGGUGAAAUGCUUAGAUAUUACAUGGAAUACCAAUUGCGAAGGCAGGUUACUACUUGUGGAUUGACGCUGAUGGACGAAAGCGUGGGGAGCGAACAGGAUUAGAAACCCUGGUAGUCC
Molecule: ribosomal RNA, 445 nt
Filed under: uncultured bacterium
Lineage: Bacteria
Description: partial 16S ribosomal RNA
Rfam family: Bacterial small subunit ribosomal RNA
Source: RNAcentral